Oreochromis aureus is the source of this 2899-nucleotide long non-coding RNA. Lineage: Eukaryota; Metazoa; Chordata; Actinopteri; Cichliformes; Cichlidae. The record is from Ensembl.
CGGCCGACAGCGCUGUAAACAACAGUAGACUUGUGUAACAAGCAAGCGAAUAAUGCAGAAAACAGAUUUUUAGACGGGAAACUGUUCUUGAAGUACAGAGAGAGAGAGCUGUGCAUGAAGUGUGAUUUUAUCAUGGUGGAAGAAAAACAGUAAAAGUCAGAGUGAUUUCAUGACGAUGUUUAUGUGAAGCGUAGUUUGGAUCUUCUUUUGCUGCUGGUUCAGUCAAUAUUGUUUGGAGAGAGAUAAAACUAACAGCUUCAUGGUGCGUUCACACCGAACGCGAUAGAGGCGGCCAGAGCGUCAGGUUUACAUGUAAAGUCAAUGGAAAGAUAUGGCAAGCCAUUAGUGCCAAAAUUCGCCACUUUUCUAACCCGUUUGAUUAAGAAACGGCGUAAAAAACGCCGUUUAAUUAUUCAAAACGCCGAAAAAAACGGCGUUCUGUUUCGACAAACGCCGUUUUUUCCGACUCUCACAUGGCGCCCUGAACGCACCAUCCGAGUGACGUAAAAAGCGGCGUUCAAAGACACACGGAAACGCCGUUUUUUACGCCACUCGGCAGAAAACGCCGUUCAAAGAUGCAUAAAAACGGCGUUUUUUACGGCGUUCUGUGCCAGCUGUAACGGCGUUUAAAACGGCGUUUUAUUGAAAUUAUGCAGGGCACUCCCCAUGGUUCCCUCAUCCAAUUACUUUCAACUCAUUUCACCCAAUCAAAGAAGAGGAAGUGCAGACCACACUAAUGCAUCACCGAUUCACCUUGCUGCUAAGUGAUUGCCUAUUCAGUACCAGUGCUUGUCACAGUAUUGACUUGUAUUAUAAUCCCACUAUGCAUUUUGAUGUGUUUAAGGCAUGAUCAAGCAAACAAACGACAGAAUACUUUUUCUGAAACCUUAACUGUGAUACCUGUUAUGGCAGCUAACAGACACUCGGCGCAUGGCUCCUUUGUUUACGUUAGGGAUCAGCUGUUAGCGCUGCGCCCUGCAGCUGCGCUACCGGCAGACAGACCCUACGUCCCCAGUGAGGGAAGAGACGGGGGUGAUGUCUCCCGAGAAGGACACCUUACACACCAUCUCUCCUUCCUGUAAUCACUGUAAACGUGAGAUCGCUCCCUGAUAUGAUUGAGGAGCUAAUGACGCUAACCCGGUCACAGUGGCAGUACCCCGACACUGCCCGGUACUCCCUCUGUGAGUAGGCUGCCCGGCUUCCAGCUGCUGCGGCCGGACAAGACCAGAGACAGCGGUGAGAGGAAAGGAGGGGACUGGGCAGUGUUUGUUAAAGACAGUUGUGGUAUCCCUGGGCACAUUGCUGUGAAAGAACAACUCUGCAACAGAGACAUUGAGCUAUUAGCCGUUAGCAUCCGUGGAGGCAGCCUGUGACUCUCUGUGGUCCGCAGACUGCAGACGCAAUCUCCGAGAGCUCUUCUUCUAAUAUCAGGGACUUUAAUCAUGUCUCGCUGGACUCCACACUGCCCACCUUCACCCAGUAUGUGACCUGCCCCACCGUAGGCAAUAAAACAUUGUACUUAAUGUAUGCCAAUGAAAAAGUGGCAUACAGUUCAUCACCUCUCCCUGCCCAGGGAAGAUCUGAUCGUAACCUAGUGCACCUUGUCCCUGUGUGCAGCACUUGUGCACGGAGCCACCAAUCACCCACGCAGUGCAGAGAUGGUCCGCGGAGGGCAUAUGAAUAAAUAAUAAAAGCAAAUAAAUGACAGAAUGCUUUUUCUGAAACAAACGGAGACCUUAACUUUUAUCAAAAUACCAUUUUACUCAGUUUAAAGUAAUACCACUGUAUAAUAGCCUUCAAUUGUAAUAUUAUUAACAGCAUCUCAGGAAUAUUUUGCCCCUUCAACAUGCAUUGAAAAAUAACCUGAUAUGCAGUUUUACACCACCGUCAUUGGCCUCAUUAAAGAUGGUGUUGAGUCUGUACACCGGCAGGAAGUUGAGAAGCUUGUACUCUGGUGUAGUCAGCACAAGCUGGAACUGAACACGCUUAAGACUGUGGAGAUAUCCUCAACACUGCCUCCCUCACCAUAUCUACACCAGUUCUACACUGCAGUCAUUGAGUUUCUCCUGUGCUCCUCCAUCACAGUCCGGUAUGAAGCAGCCACUAAGCAGGACAGGAGCAGGCUGCAGUGGACUGUACUGGCAGCAGAAAAGAUCAUUGGCACCCCCUGCCCUCCAUCCAGGACCUGCACCUCUCAAGAACCAGGAAACGGGAAGGGAAAAUCAUCACAGACCCCUCACACCCUGGACACAGACUUUUUUGACCUGCUGCCCUCUGGCAGACGGUACAGAAGCCUUCAAACCAGGACCACCUGACACAGGAACAUUUUCUUUCCCCUCGCCAUCUCCCUCCUAAGUGGUUGAACUGUCACACUGCUAGACUGCAACUGCAGUCUUUGGUAUUAACUUCUGUAAUCUCUGUAUAAAAGAAUUAGAUUGUGUAUUAUAUUGUUAGUUUAUACACCUGUGUGCAUAUGUGCAUGUGUAUUUAUGCAUGUCCAUACACAUAGAUGGAUUGUGUUUUACAUUUUUUUGCUUGAGAGACGCCCUCAAUCGGAACCUAAUUCCUUGUAUGUGUUUGUGCAUAUACUUUGCCAAUAAACGCGAUUCUGAUUAUGAGGUAUUUCCCUCUGGAUGGCACACACACGUAAAUUAAGUAGAAAAAAUGUCAUGUGUAUUGCCUCUUUUAAAAUUCUUUUUGGAAACCACAAGAAGAGAAAUAUGUGGCAUUCCCUUAUGUCAUUUUACAUCUGUCAGUAGACAAUUGUGAACAUAUUUUGAUCUGGCUUUUUUUCCUUAACUCAAUAGACCUGGCACACAUUCUACAAAGACAACUCACUUCCUCUGUUUCAAGCUCUUUGCUUUAAGCAGCUAAAGGGGAGUUAAUUUUCUUCUUCCGA